GAAAACCUACUCACAAAUUUAUUCUGCUUAUCUUUAAAACUUGUAUGUUUCAGACUAAUUGAAGCCUCACAGCAGUAUAGGGUAGGGACGUAGUUUAAAAUUUUUUAAUUGCCAGAUCUUUUACAUAUCUCAGUUGAUCCCAAAAACUUUGGGGAAGAUUAUUGCCAGCUUGCCAGCUAAACAGAUAAACACCUCUUCUCUGCUCAUCAGACCCAUGUAACUUCUCAAGAGUCUACUUUAACCACCUUAUUUAAAAUUGCAACUCACUCUACAUUUUUCCUGACUCUUAAUUCCCCUCCUCCUUUUCCCCGAUAGCAUGACUACUUUCUAAUCUAUUAUAUAUUUCGCUUACUUAUUACUCUUAUUGUCUCCCUUUCUAGAAAGUAAGCUCCUUGAAGGUAGGGUUCCAGAUUGCCUUUUGGGUUUUGUCCCCACUCAUACUUAAAGUGCCUAGCAUGUUAGGUGCUAAGUAAAUACUUGUUGGACGAAUGAGUGUCCAUUAUUUCCACUUGGGUGUUCCAUAGGCAUCUCAUAUUCCAUCCUCCACUGUCAUCAGUCAUCUAUUCAGGUAUUUAUACCAGAAAUAUAAUUGUGUUCUUUCACAAUCAUGUUCACACAAUUUAUUCUUUGAAUACAUAUUUUGAGCAUCUGCUACAGACCAGGCAAAAUUUCUAGACACUGGGGUUACAACAAUAAGCAAAACAAAAAUCCCUGCCCAUGACUAUCCAGGGAAUCUUAUCUUGGGGGAGAUAGAUUAAUAAGGACAUCUAUCAGGUGGUGCUGAGGAAAAAUAAAAAUAAAGCAGGAUAAGAGGGAUAGGUGGUCAAGAUGGGCAUCUCUGACAAGACUUGGACAAAGACCUGAGGCAAGUGAGGGGGCAAUUCGUGUGAUCCUAGUCAGAUGUAAUAGCAAGUACGAAUGUCCAAAAGUGCAAAAUAGCGAAAGCAUGAGCAAGGGACAGGAAAAAACAAAACAAAACAAAAAACCAUGCUGCCUUUUUCUCAGUGUUUUGUUUUUUUCAAGUUUACUAGUUUGUUCUCUUUUCUUUUGUACCUUACCUGCUGUUAACCCUCCACACUAUUUUUUCAUUCUACACAAUGUACUUUUCAUCUCUAGUUCAGUUUGGGUAUUGUUUUUUUUUCUAUCUUCUAAGUCUAGAUAACUUUUUGAGCAUAUGGAAUACAGUUAUUCUAUUUUAAUGUUCUCUGCUAAUUAUAGCAU
Molecule: long non-coding RNA, 1221 nt
Organism: Cebus imitator (Panamanian white-faced capuchin)
Lineage: Eukaryota; Metazoa; Chordata; Mammalia; Primates; Cebidae
Exons: 3
Source: RefSeq, a predicted model, not a curated record